RNAcentral lists this transfer-messenger RNA (368 nucleotides) under Terriglobales. RNAcentral's name for it is "Bog-209 sp020073215 Standard tmRNA". It matches the Rfam family "transfer-messenger RNA". Rfam says of the family: Bacterial tmRNA, also known as 10Sa RNA or SsrA, is named for its dual tRNA and mRNA-like properties. Its role is to liberate the mRNA from a stalled ribosome. RNAcentral also lists the same sequence under 1 other name. Lineage: Bacteria; Pseudomonadati; Acidobacteriota; Terriglobia. The record is from RNAcentral.
GGGGGCGUCACGGAUUCGACGGAGAUGCUUGCGGCCAGGAGGCAUGCCGGGGUGCACACACCCGUAAUCGCGUGCAAAAUGAUAAUUGCCAAUCAACAGAUGGCAUACGCAGCCUAAUUCGUUAGGCCGCCGUUCUCCGCAGCUUUGCCCGUGGGCUGCGAGCGAACGUCACACAGCGGGCUGCUCUUCUCUGCUACGUCUGGGUAGAGAAGCUAAGAUCUCAGGCUAGCGCCAACGGUUUCUUGUCCGUUCUGAGCCGGUGACGCGAACGUCCUGGGGUAAUGCCCAGGGCAUGAACUGGAAUAAGCAUGUAGUCUCUUGACCAGUAACAUUUUCGGACGCGGGUUCGACUCCCGCCGCCUCCACCA